RNAcentral lists this ribosomal RNA (492 nucleotides) under uncultured bacterium. RNAcentral describes it as "partial 16S ribosomal RNA". It matches the Rfam family "Bacterial small subunit ribosomal RNA", at positions 29 to 507 of the family's 1533-position model. The record is from RNAcentral.
AGUGAACGCUGGCGGUAGGCCUAACACAUGCAAGUCGAACGGCAGCACAGUAAGAGCUUGCUCUUACGGGUGGCGAGUGGCGGACGGGUGAGGAAUACAUCGGAAUCUACUUUUUCGUGGGGGAUAACGUAGGGAAACUUACGCUAAUACCGCAUACGACCUACGGGUGAAAGCAGGGGAUCUUCGGACCUUGCGCGAUUGAAUGAGCCGAUGUCGGAUUAGCUAGUUGGCGGGGUAAAGGCCCACCAAGGCGACGAUCCGUAGCUGGUCUGAGAGGAUGAGCAGCCAGCGUGGAAAUGCGACCGGGUCGAGCGUGCUACGGGAGCCCGCAGUGGGGCGUAGGGGACAAAGGGCGGAGGCAUGAACAAGACAUUCCGCGUGGGUGAAAAAGGCCUUCGGGUUUUAAGGCCCUUUUGUUGGGAAAGAAAAGCAGCAGGUUAACACCCCGCUGUUCUGACGGUACCUAACGAAUAAAAGCCGGCUCACUUCGUG